UGUAGAGAAGCUUGAAGUUGUGGAAUGUGACUUGGAGAAGCCAGAUCAGAUAAGGCCAGCCUUAGCCAAUGCUUCUGUGGUUAUAUCUGCAUUGGUGCAAGCGAAAAGGAAGUUUUUGAUGUGACGGGCCCAUACAGAAUUGACUAUAUGGCUACGAAGAACCUCAUUGAUGCAGCAACUUCGGCCAAAGUUAACCACUUCAUCAUGGUUUCAUCUUUGGGAACAAACAAGGUCGGAUUUCCUGCGGCUAUACUGAAUUUGUUCUGGGGAGUGUU
Long non-coding RNA from Eucalyptus grandis, 275 nucleotides. RefSeq lists it as uncharacterized. The transcript is spliced from 3 exons. The record is from RefSeq and is a predicted model, not a curated record. Lineage: Eukaryota; Viridiplantae; Streptophyta; Magnoliopsida; Myrtales; Myrtaceae.